UGGUGGAGCAUGUGGUUUAAUUCGAUGCAACGCGAAGAACCUUACCAAGGCUUGACAUAUACCGGAAACGUUCAGAAAUGUUCGCCCCGCAAGGUCGGUAUACAGGUGGUGCAUGGUUGUCGUCAGCUCGUGUCGUGAGAUGUUGGGUUAAGUCCCGCAACGAGCGCAACCCUCGUCGUAUGUUGCCAGCACGUAAUGGUGGGAACUCAUAUGAGACUGCCGGGGUCAACUCGGAGGAAGGUGGGGAUGACGUCAAAUCAUCAUGCCCCUUAUGUCUUGGGCUUCACGCAUGCUACAAUGGCUGGUACAAUGGGCUGCAAUACCGCGAGGUGGAGCGAAUCCCAAAAAGCCAGUCUCAGUUCGGAUUGGGGUCUGCAACUCGACCCCANNAAGUCGGAGUCGC
Molecule: ribosomal RNA, 403 nt
Filed under: Pseudoclavibacter sp. AZTITEMP157
Lineage: Bacteria; Bacillati; Actinomycetota; Actinomycetes; Micrococcales; Microbacteriaceae
Description: bacterial SSU rRNA
Rfam family: Bacterial small subunit ribosomal RNA
Source: RNAcentral